RNA transcript from Xenia sp. Carnegie-2017, 1004 nucleotides. It is a transcript of the gene named sodium/hydrogen exchanger 1-like, with no coding region annotated. The transcript is spliced from 4 exons. Lineage: Eukaryota; Metazoa; Cnidaria; Anthozoa; Malacalcyonacea; Xeniidae. The record is from RefSeq and is a predicted model, not a curated record.
ACGAGUUCACAAUAGAACCGGUGUUGCUCAGAAUAAAAACGUAUUUUUGGUCUUCUUUUUGUUUAAAGAAGGCAAAUGACAACCGAGUAUGGAUUCCAGAUAAACCAUCUGGAAUUAUGAUGAAUGCUCGUGUGGAAACGAUUUGUUUAUGUACUUUGAGUUUGUUUAUAUUUUGUAAUCAGUUUGUCGUUUUCGUGGAUUAGAAACCUGUUAAUAAUACGAACCAAAAUACAUCAAAUCAUAAUGGAAGUGAGAAGAAUGAACCUCGUCGUCAUGAACACAACAUCAAAGUGGCGAAAUUAGAUUUUGAACAUAUUGCAAGGCCUUUUAUCAUAACAGUAUGGGUGUUGCUCGCCACUCUACUCAAAGUCGGAUUUCAUAUGAUCUCAAGAUUGUCAAAAGUUGUACCUGAAUCAUGGGGAGCUACAAGUUCCAUUUAUCCAAACCUGCUAUCAGUGUUAGUGUGUUCGAGAAAUUCAUUCUCAAUUAUAUCUUUCAGCAUGGUUAUUUUGCUUGGCGUUCUUCUUGGAUUAAUUUUACACUAUUCCAACUUCAAAAGUGUUGCAGAUAUUCCAUUUUUCAACUCAAGAAUAUUCUUUCUGUUCAUGUUGCCACCAAUUGUUUUGGAUGCUGGCUACUUUCUUCAUACAAGGGCAUUUUUUGAUAAUAUGGGGACAAUUUUACUCUAUGCUGUCGUGGUAUGUUAUAUCCUUCAUGAUUUAUUUUCUCAAUCAUAAGUACCGUAAGUUUGGUGGAAUGUUAGGUGCUUGUUGGCAAUAUACAUCACGGCUGUUGGAACAUCGAUAAUUUUGGGUGACUGAUAUUCCUAUAAGCAUGUUAUAAUCUGUAGACAACGAUUUUAAAAAAAACUUAAAUAUGAAAUUAUCCUGCAUACAUGAAUUAAUGAUUUUACAACAGCAAUGUAGAUUAUAAGCUCUUUCAAAUACUCUUAUCAUGUGAAAAUAUGAAUAGGUUAUUUGUACUAAUAAGAAAGAUUGAGCAAA